UCAGCUCUGGGCAAAUCACCUAUCUGUGCCUGUAUUUAUUCAUCCACAAUCCCCAAAAGCUCAGAGGAAGUUGAGGGAAAGUGUAAAUCUCUAGAUAAGGGCAGGACAUGUCUGCUGCAGCCUUGAAUCUGGGACUCCCCGUGGGGUGAGGGGCCCCCUGAGGCCAUCUGUCCUUUGCACUCCCAGGGGCAUUAGCAGUAUGGUCAGGUGCUGCAUCCACAAGCCCACGAGCCAGGAGCAUGCUGUGAAGGUCAUCGACGUCACCAGUGGAAGCAGCUUCACCCCCGAGGAGGUGCAGGAGCUGCAAGAAGCCACACUGAAGGAGGUUGACAUCCUGCACAAGGUCUCAGGGCACCUCAACAUCAAGCCACCCAGAGUUCCCUUGCUGAGGAUCUGAGCAUGACCCGGGAUGAGGCACUGCCGGACUCUCAUUCCGCACAGGACUUCCAUGACAAUUAUUAGCCCAACGAGAUCCUGGGCAGGCUGGAGUUGCAAUCUCAGCUCACCACAACCU
This is a long non-coding RNA of Homo sapiens (human), 514 nucleotides long. RefSeq lists it as uncharacterized. NCBI's taxonomy places the organism in Eukaryota, Metazoa, Chordata, Mammalia, Primates, Hominidae. The transcript has 3 exons. The record is from RefSeq and is a predicted model, not a curated record.